Molecule: ribosomal RNA, 301 nt
Filed under: uncultured bacterium
Lineage: Bacteria
Description: partial 16S ribosomal RNA
Rfam family: Bacterial small subunit ribosomal RNA
Source: RNAcentral
CAGUCGCCGCGGGAAUACGUAGGGUGCGAGCGUUAAUCGGAAUUACUGGGCGUAAAGCGUGCGCAGGCGGUUCGUUAAGACAGAUGUGAAAUCCCCGGGCUUAACCUGGGAACUGCAUUUGUGACUGGCGAGCUAGAGUAUGGCAGAGGGGGGUAGAAUUCCACGUGUAGCAGUGAAAUGCGUAGAGAUGUGGAGGAAUACCGAUGGCGAAGGCAGCCCCCUGGGCCAAUACUGACGCUCAUGCACGAAAGCGUGGGGAGCAAACAGGAUUAGAUACCCGAGUAGUCCCUGUCUCUUAUAC